Solanum dulcamara is the source of this 117-nucleotide small nucleolar RNA. The record is from RefSeq and is a predicted model, not a curated record. Lineage: Eukaryota; Viridiplantae; Streptophyta; Magnoliopsida; Solanales; Solanaceae.
GAUUGAUUGGCUGAUAAGAUUCUUAGAUUUUGUUAGGUUGAUGAUAUCAACAAGCUAUACACAGUGCCUUUCAAAUACUUUUCGUUUUGAUUAUGGCCUUGAACAAAUCGCUAAAUU